Molecule: non-coding RNA, 546 nt
Filed under: Salmo salar (Atlantic salmon)
Lineage: Eukaryota; Metazoa; Chordata; Actinopteri; Salmoniformes; Salmonidae
Description: Eukaryotic small subunit ribosomal RNA
Rfam family: Eukaryotic small subunit ribosomal RNA
Source: Rfam by way of RNAcentral
CUGGUUGAUCCUGUCAUAUUCUUGUCCCAAAGAUUAAGCCAUGCAAGUCUUAGUACACACUGUUGGUACAGUGAAACUUUGAAUGGCUCAUUCAAUCAGUUGUGGUUCCAUUGAUCGCCCCAAUGUUACUUGGAUACAUUAGCUGUGGUAAUCCUAUAGAUAAGAUAUGCCAACAAGUGUUGACCUUCAGGGACACAUGCAUUUAUCAGACCCAAAACCCAUACAGGGUGCUCUCGGGUGCCCUGGACGCUUUUGGUGAAGCUUUGUGCCACUGGCGUCUCAUUCUAAUGUCUGCCCUAUCGAUGGUAGUUUCUGUGCCUACCUUGGUGACCACGGGUAACGGGGGAAUCAGGGUUUGAUUCCGGAGAGGGAACCUGAGAAACGGCUACCACAUCCAAGGAAGGCAGCAGGCAUGCAAAUUACCCCUCCUGACUCGGGUAGGUAGUGACGAAAAAUAACAAGACAGAAGUCUUUCAAGGCCCUGUAAUUGGAAUGAAUACGCUUUAAAUCCUUUAACGAGGAUCCAUUACUGAUGUUACAAGCAUU